CAUUGAUGUAUUUAUAAAAUUAUAGAACCCUUUUACAUAUUAAAUUUUAAUUACAAUAUUGAAAUUAAUAAUUAUUAUUAAUAAAUAUUCAAACUAUAAACAAUAGCCAAUAGUAAUAAAUUGAUCAACAAAUUAAUAAUUUUAAUAACUAAAAAACUAUCCUAGGAUAAUGGGAACAGGUGCAGCCUCUGUUGUACUUAGGAAGUUGGAAAGGUAGAAAACAGAAAGAAAUUUAAUGUAUAUCUGUAAAUAACAAUAAACUAUUGCUAUAGGAAAAUUGAUUCUGAGCAAAGUUCAGUUAAUAGUGAUUCAUUGUCGACAAUAUAUGGGCUGAUCAAUCUAUCGUAAUACACUCAUCUUGA
This is a non-coding RNA of Cinara cedri, 362 nucleotides long. The record is from the annotation of a GenBank genome assembly. Lineage: Eukaryota; Metazoa; Arthropoda; Insecta; Hemiptera; Aphididae.